This is a long non-coding RNA of Micropterus salmoides (largemouth bass), 255 nucleotides long. RefSeq lists it as uncharacterized. The transcript has 2 exons. NCBI's taxonomy places the organism in Eukaryota, Metazoa, Chordata, Actinopteri, Centrarchiformes, Centrarchidae. The record is from RefSeq and is a predicted model, not a curated record.
AUUUACCUACUUCCUCCCAGAUCAAGCAUGGUGGUUAUCAAGUCUGGAAAGAGGUGUAUUCAGAAUAUAUAAGGAAAAAACUGAUUUUGAGGAUCACACUACCUCCGGGAAACCUGCUGAACGCCACACCCCGCUCUGCUCCUAUCUUGCCUGGGCUAACUCCCCUCCUCUGUGUUCUCCAUUCUGCCCUGUUGGAGCCAACCACCCAGUCCUCCGUUGCACCUUUCAAUAAAACCCCUUUGUUACCCCUUCGAA